GACGAACGCUGGCGGCGCGCCUAACACAUGCAAGUCGAACGGAGUCAAGAGGAGCUUGCUUUUCUUGACUUAGUGGCGAACGGGUGAGUAACGCGUGAGUAACCUGCCCUGGAGUGGGGGACAACAGUUGGAAACGACUGCUAAUACCGCAUAAGCCCACGGAUCCGCAUGGAUCUGCGGGAAAAGGAUUUAUUCGCUUCAGGAUGGACUCGCGUCCAAUUGGCUAGUUGGUGAGGUAACGGCCCACCAAGGCGACGAUUGGUAGCCGGACUGAGAGGUUGAACGGCCACAUUGGGACUGAGACACGGCCCAGACUCCUACGGGAGGCAGCAGUGGGGGAUAUUGCACAAUGGGGGAAACCCUGAUGCAGCGACGCCGCGUGGAGGAAGAAGGUUUUCGGAUUGUAAACUCCUGUCGUUAGGGACGAUAAUGACGGUACCUAACAAGAAAGCACCGGCUAACUACGUG
This 468-nucleotide ribosomal RNA is filed under the name uncultured bacterium. Its description in RNAcentral is "partial 16S ribosomal RNA". It matches the Rfam family "Bacterial small subunit ribosomal RNA", at positions 28 to 507 of the family's 1533-position model. The record is from RNAcentral.